GGUGUAUUAGUUCAGUCUGGUUAGAAUGCCUGCCUGUCACGUAGGAGGUCACGGGUUCGAGUCCCGUAUGCACCG
This 75-nucleotide transfer RNA is filed under the name Clostridia bacterium. Its description in RNAcentral is "tRNA-Asp". It matches the Rfam family "tRNA". From Rfam's summary of the family: Transfer RNA (tRNA) molecules are approximately 80 nucleotides in length. Lineage: Bacteria; Bacillati; Bacillota; Clostridia. The record is from RNAcentral.